This 177-nucleotide ribosomal RNA is filed under the name uncultured bacterium. Its description in RNAcentral is "partial 16S ribosomal RNA". It matches the Rfam family "Bacterial small subunit ribosomal RNA", at positions 338 to 512 of the family's 1533-position model. The record is from RNAcentral.
CCUACGGGAGGCAGCAGUGAGGAAUAUUGGUCAAUGGGCGCAAGCCUGAACCAGCCAUGCCGCGUGCCGGAGGACCGCCCUAUGCCUUGUUAACUGCUUUUGUAUGGGAGCAAUAAGGUCUAUGCGUAGACUGAUGAGAGUACCUUACGAAUAAGAAUCUGCUAACUCCGUGCCAGC